Molecule: long non-coding RNA, 327 nt
Filed under: Manihot esculenta (cassava)
Lineage: Eukaryota; Viridiplantae; Streptophyta; Magnoliopsida; Malpighiales; Euphorbiaceae
Description: long non-coding RNA (MESC_LNC002648)
Source: RNAcentral
UUGGCUUGGACUUGCAAACUUUUUCAAUGUGUCCAAAUUUUUUGCAAGACCUGCAUUGAACACCAGGUUUGUACCAUCAAAAUUUCUCCAAAUGAUUAGUUUGUUUGCAAUUUGGACAUGGAGGAAACUUCCCUUUCCUUUCUGCAUUCUUGCUGCUGUCACCUUCUUUUUUAUUCCUUAUAUCAUUAAACUUUUUUCCUUUUGAGUUGAACUGAACUUUCUCUUUGCUUUUCAUAACAAGAGCUGCCUCAGUAUUGUCUUCCUGCCUCAAAUUCCUUCUUUGUUGUGUUGCUUGUAGUGCAUUAACAAGCUCUGCUAGUGAAAUUU